CUCCUCCCUACUCUUAGGGUUACUGAGUUCAAAUGGGGUGAACAGGAAGAAAGUGAACCCUGAUAUAGGCACAGCCGAGCUUCAUCUCCCCCCACUUCCUGAUGAAUCUGGGGUGUGCUGUUCCCAUGGUGCUGGCUUAGAAGUGACCUUCAGAAUCCAUCCCCCUGAAGUUAUGAAAGAGCUGCUGUGGCUCUCCACUGGCCCAAAUGGGAUCAAGGACCAACCUCGGCCUCCAUUCAAAACCCUCUCCCACUCAUAUCUGUUUCUCCUCACUCUCCAGGAUACACCAGUAACUUCCUCAAACAAACCUUCCUCCCCUUUAUUUGUGAUUUCAGGGUCCCGACUGUACUUGUCAUCAAGAUCUGCUCUUCCUCCAACUAUUUUUGAAAUUAGAGAAGGCUAUCCCCACAUACCCAGGAGCUGGAGCCUGAAACCCGGGGUAUAUUAUCCUCAACUCCUUUUCCUCACUAUCCACAUUUAUACUAGCCCACAGUCAUGAAGCUUCUGUUUUCUGGGAGUCCAGCUCCUGUGUCUCUCAAGGACCCCAGGACCUUGUGGAACAUGUGGGGCCUUUACUGAAUAGCCACACACCUUUGCUCUGCUGGGCCCUGUGCCGACACUGGAGGCACAAAGGUGGGUCAGUCUUUAUCCUUAGGGGCCCCAGGCCAGUGGGGAGUCACGUGACCACUCUCCUGGACUUGCUUAUUCAAUCUCUUUACGUUUUAAGCCCCUACACAGUAGAAACAUGGUAAGAUCUGCAAACACGGGUGGAGAGAACUGGCUGAGUGACCAUGGGGAAGCUCUCUCCCCCUCUGGCCCUCUGUUUUGCUAUCUGCAUAAUGGAAUUGAAUCGAAUAAAGGAUGAGUGGGGGCUUUUCCAGUUCCAACAGUCUUGGAAGCAACGCCUCUCCAAGCCAGGGAGCCAGAGGAGGAGCGGAGGAGGAGGAGGGAGACAGAGACAGGGCUGCUUAGAUGCCCCCCCCCUUCCCCGCCCACUAAGGAGGAGGAGGUCCCUCUCCUGCCAGGCAGUUCCUUGUAGCCCCACCCCUCUCCCUUACCUCUCCUCCUCAGGCUGUGUAAAGCCUUUUGCCUAAAGCAGAGAAGCUACUGGUUAGCUCCUUCCCAAGCUCGGCUGGGCUAUCUGACUGGCCCACAGCCUAACCCGGCUGGUGACUGGUGGCUUCUCUCCAGCUGGCAUAGGGCUGGAGUCCAGGCUGGGAAAGGAGAGCCCUGCGGAUCUCUGCCCAGUGGCUGCUGCAGCGAAGAGUUUGUGAGUCAGACCGACCUGGGUUCCAACCCCAGCCGGGCCACUUUAUAGCUGUGAGACUGUAAUAGUUAGUUUCUUGUGUCAGUUGACUGGCUCACAGGGACACAGGCUUGGACUGACAAGGGCUUACAGAGGCUUUGGGCAGUUUGCUGGCUCACUCUGAGCCUGUAUUUUGAAAUUUGUAAAAAAUGGAAAUCAUAAUUCCUUGCACAAGUACCAUUCCCUCCUUUAGAAUUCCCAUUAUUUAUGGAAAAGAGCUCGGAACCUUCUUUGUGAGCAUUUCAACGCUCUUCUCCACCAUGCCCUACCAAGACUCAUUUCCCCCUCACUGACUGGAUGCACUAGCUAGACACCAUUCCCUUUCCAGCCCCCAUCGCUUUGCAGCAGCUGUUCCCUUCCCGUGAAACACAGGCCUAGUCUUGUCUUUCGUCUGCUUGGUAAACUCUCAUGCAUCCCUGAGGGUCCAGCUCUGUAGUGUCCUCUUAGAGCCUUCCCUGACGCCAUUAGGAGUUGUGUUGCAAUGCCUGGCACACCCUUUGGCUGUCACGCUGUUCAGGCCUUGGUGGGAUUGUAGGCCUGUGUGUCUGUCUUCCCAGACUGUGAGCUCCUCAUCUCUGUACGUAAGAGAGUGAUGGUUUCCCUUUGUGUUGUUUUGGUGUUCUUCAGUUUAUGAAGUACUUUCUCAGAUCCAUGAUUUCACUUAAACUCAGCACCAAGGGGAAGGAGGCAGAGCCAGGAUUAAAACCCCCCAGUAAGGGAUGGCUAGGUGGCUCAGUGGCUGAAUGUCUGCCUUUGGCUUAGGGUGUGAUCCCAGGAUCCAGGAUCGAGUCCUACAUUGGGCUCCCUGCAAGGAGCCUGCUUCUCUCUCUGCCUAUGUCUCUACCUCUCUUUCUCUGUGUCUCUCAUGAGUAAAUAAAUAAAUCUUAAAAAAAAAAAAAAAAA
This 2209-nucleotide long non-coding RNA is filed under the name Canis lupus familiaris (dog). Its description in RNAcentral is "lncRNA (ENSCAFG00000058921.1)". The record is from RNAcentral. Lineage: Eukaryota; Metazoa; Chordata; Mammalia; Carnivora; Canidae.